CCUACGGGUGGCAGCAGUGAGGAAUAUUGGUCAAUGGGCGAGAGUCUGAACCAGCCAAGUAGCGUGAAGGAUGACUGCCCUAUGGGUUGUAAACUUCUUUUAUAAAGGAAUAAAACGAGGCACGUGUGCCUUUUUGCAUGUACUUUAUGAAUAAGGAUCGGCUAACUCCGUGCCAGCAGCCGCGGUAAUACGGAGGAUCCGAGCGUUAUCCGGAUUUAUUGGGUUUAAAGGGAGCGUAGAUGGGUUGUUAAGUCAGUUGUGAAAGUUUGCGGCUCAACCGUAAAAUUGCAAUUGAUACUGGCAGUCGUGAGUACAGUUGAGGUAAGCGGAAUUCGUGGUGUAGCGGUAAAAUGCUUAGAUAUCACGAAGAACCCCGAUUGCGAAGGCAGCUUACUAAACUGUGACUGACAUUGAUGCUCGAAAGUGUGGGUAUCAAACAGGAUUAGAUACCCGUGUAGUC
This 460-nucleotide ribosomal RNA is filed under the name uncultured bacterium. Its description in RNAcentral is "partial 16S ribosomal RNA". It matches the Rfam family "Bacterial small subunit ribosomal RNA", at positions 338 to 795 of the family's 1533-position model. The record is from RNAcentral.